Molecule: ribosomal RNA, 1544 nt
Filed under: Salmonella enterica
Lineage: Bacteria; Pseudomonadati; Pseudomonadota; Gammaproteobacteria; Enterobacterales; Enterobacteriaceae
Also listed under: 2 other names
Description: partial 23S ribosomal RNA
Rfam family: Bacterial large subunit ribosomal RNA
Source: RNAcentral
AGACCCGAAACCCGGUGAUCUAGCCAUGGGCAGGUUGAAGGUUGGGUAACACUAACUGGAGGACCGAACCGACUAAUGUUGAAAAAUUAGCGGAUGACCUGUGGCUGGGGGUGAAAGGCCAAUCAAACCGGGAGAUAGCUGGUUCUCCCCGAAAGCUAUUUAGGUAGCGCCUCGUGAAUUCAUCUCCGGGGGUAGAGCACUGUUUCGGCUAGGGGGCCAUCCCGGCUUACCAACCCGAUGCAAACUGCGAAUACCGGAGAAUGUUAUCACGGGAGACACACGGCGGGUGCUAACGUCCGUCGUGAAGAGGGAAACAACCCAGACCGCCAGCUAAGGUCCCAAAGUCAUGGUUAAGUGGGAAACGAUGUGGGAAGGCCCAGACAGCCAGGAUGUUGGCUUAGAAGCAGCCAUCAUUUAAAGAAAGCGUAAUAGCUCACUGGUCGAGUCGGCCUGCGCGGAAGAUGUAACGGGGCUAAACCAUGCACCGAAGCUGCGGCAGCGACACUAUGUGUUGUUGGGUAGGGGAGCGUUCUGUAAGCCUGUGAAGGUGUGUCGUGAGGCAUGCUGGAGGUAUCAGAAGUGCGAAUGCUGACAUAAGUAACGAUAAAGCGGGUGAAAAGCCCGCUCGCCGGAAGACCAAGGGUUCCUGUCCAACGUUAAUCGGGGCAGGGUGAGUCGACCCCUAAGGCGAGGCCGAAAGGCGUAGUCGAUGGGAAACGGGUUAAUAUUCCCGUACUUGGUGUUACUGCGAAGGGGGGACGGAGAAGGCUAUGUUGGCCGGGCGACGGUUGUCCCGGUUUAAGCGUGUAGGUGUGUGUUCCAGGUAAAUCCGGUUCACUUUAACACUGAGGCGUGAUGACGAGGCACUACGGUGCUGAAGCAACAAAUGCCCUGCUUCCAGGAAAAGCCUCUAAGCAUCAGGUAACAUCAAAUCGUACCCCAAACCGACACAGGUGGUCAGGUAGAGAAUACCAAGGCGCUUGAGAGAACUCGGGUGAAGGAACUAGGCAAAAUGGUGCCGUAACUUCGGGAGAAGGCACGCUGACACGUAGGUGAAGUGAUUUACUCACGGAGCUGAAGUCAGUCGAAGAUACCAGCUGGCUGCAACUGUUUAUUAAAAACACAGCACUGUGCAAACACGAAAGUGGACGUAUACGGUGUGACGCCUGCCCGGUGCCGGAAGGUUAAUUGAUGGGGUCAGCGCAAGCGAAGCUCCUGAUCGAAGCCCCGGUAAACGGCGGCCGUAACUAUAACGGUCCUAAGGUAGCGAAAUUCCUUGUCGGGUAAGUUCCGACCUGCACGAAUGGCGUAAUGAUGGCCAGGCUGUCUCCACCCGAGACUCAGUGAAAUUGAACUCGCUGUGAAGAUGCAGUGUACCCGCGGCAAGACGGAAAGACCCCGUGAACCUUUACUAUAGCUUGACACUGAACAUUGAGCCUUGAUGUGUAGGAUAGGUGGGAGGCUUUGAAGUGUGGACGCCAGUCUGCAUGGAGCCGACCUUGAAAUACCACCCUUUAAUGUUUGAUGUUCUAACGUGGACCCGU